This is a non-coding RNA of Phrynosoma platyrhinos (Desert horned lizard), 72 nucleotides long. The record is from the annotation of a GenBank genome assembly. NCBI's taxonomy places the organism in Eukaryota, Metazoa, Chordata, Lepidosauria, Squamata, Phrynosomatidae.
GCCAGUGUGACAUAGUGGUUUGAGCAUUGAACUGCAACUCUGGAGACCAGAGUUCAAUUCCCAGCUCAGUCA